AUGUUUGCUGGAUCCCGACGUGGUUCUCAGUUCUGGAAGGACCUUAUUAAAGUCAGGCCUCUCUUCCUGGAUCAUGUUAAGUUUAUUGCGGGUGAUGGUACCUCGGUCCGUUUUUGGCGCGACUGGUGGUGUGGUGAUGCUCCUUUGGCUAGUAGGUUCCCUGUUUUGUUUUCUUUCUGUCCUAACCCUGACAUCUCCAUCGCGGAGGUGGCACCUAAUAACUGGGAUUUGGCCUUUCGCCGCUCCCUGACUCCUGAAGAGUUGGAAGAUUGGCAAAGUCUUACUGCCUUCUUCCCCACGCUCUCGGAGUCGCCGGACUCUGUUGUCUGGCCUCAUUCUGCCUCUGGUCAUUUUUCGGUUAAAUCUUUGUACGCGAGGCUCAUCGGUGGUGUCCCUUCCAACAGGUUCUCUUGCAUUUGGAGGACCAAAGUUCCUCCUAAGGUGAAAAUCUUCCUCUGGCAAGCCUUUAGGGGCCGGCUUCCCGCUGCUGAUCAAAUCCGUAAGCGUAAUGGUCCAGGCUCGGAAUUUUGUGCUCUUUGUGGUGCUGUGGAAAACACGGAGCAUAUCUUCUUUCACUGUGUUUUGGCUAAGUUUGUUUGGUGCUGUGUCCGGUCGUGGCUUCAGGUUACUUGGAACCCUUCUUCCUUUCAUGAGAUGAGAAACCUUGCCAGCUCGUUGGUUGGGGUCACUAAGAGGGUUUUCUGGGUUGGCUUGGGUGCGAUGUGCUGGUCUCUUUGGACGAUUAGGAACAAAUUUACUAUCGAACAUGUCUUUCCUUUGAAAGCGUCUGACGUUCUUUUCAAAUCAUGUAUAUUCUUGCAGCAGUGGAGACCAUUGACUAAAGAGGACGAUCGGGGAGCUCUAGACCUGCUAAUCUCUAAAAUUCGGGCCUUGGCGUCCUCCAUCUCCGGGCAGGCUCCUGACGUCUAA
This 930-nucleotide ribosomal RNA is filed under the name Triticum aestivum (bread wheat). RNAcentral describes it as "partial small subunit ribosomal RNA". Lineage: Eukaryota; Viridiplantae; Streptophyta; Magnoliopsida; Poales; Poaceae. The record is from RNAcentral.